AUCUACGGCCAUACCACCCUGAACAUGCCCAAUCUUGUCUGGUCUCAGAAGCUAAGCAGGGUUGGGCAUGGUUAGUACUUGGAUGGGAGAAAAUAAAUACCUAGCACAAAUUGUACCACUUUUGACA
This 127-nucleotide ribosomal RNA is filed under the name Prolemur simus (greater bamboo lemur). Lineage: Eukaryota; Metazoa; Chordata; Mammalia; Primates; Lemuridae. The record is from RNAcentral.